AUUGAACGCUGGCGGAAUGCUUUACACAUGCAAGUCGAGCGGCAGCGCGGGGGCAACCCUGGCGGCGAGCGGCGAACGGGUGAGUAAUACAUCGGAACGUGUCCUUAAGUGGGGGAUAGCUCGGCGAAAGCCGGAUUAAUACCGCAUAAGCUCUGAGGAGGAAAGCGGGGGAUUCGCAAGGACCUCGCGCUGUUGGAGCGGCCGAUGUCGGAUUAGCUAGUUGGUGGGGUAAAGGCCCACCAAGGCGACGAUCCGUAGCUGGUCUGAGAGGAUGAUCAGCCACACUGGAACUGAGACACGGUCCAGACUCCUACGGGAGGCAGCAGUGGGGAAUUUUGGACAAUGGGGGCAACCCUGAUCCAGCCAUUCCGCGUGAGUGAAGAAGGCCUCGGUU
RNAcentral lists this ribosomal RNA (394 nucleotides) under uncultured bacterium. RNAcentral's name for it is "bacterial SSU rRNA". It matches the Rfam family "Bacterial small subunit ribosomal RNA", at positions 29 to 424 of the family's 1533-position model. The record is from RNAcentral.